RNA transcript from Chrysochloris asiatica (Cape golden mole), 490 nucleotides. It is a transcript of the gene named ribosomal protein L26-like 1 pseudogene, with no coding region annotated. The transcript has a single exon. NCBI's taxonomy places the organism in Eukaryota, Metazoa, Chordata, Mammalia, Afrosoricida, Chrysochloridae. The record is from RefSeq and is a predicted model, not a curated record.
AUGAAGUUCAACCCCUUCAUGACCUCGGACCGCAGCAAGAACUGCAAGCGCCACUUCAAUGCUCCCUCGCACGUGCGCAGGAAGAUCAUGUCGUACCAGGUGUCCCAGGAGCUGCGGUGGAAGUAUAACGUGCGCUCCAUGCCCAUCCGCAAGGACUACGAGGUCCAAGUGGUUCGAGGACACUACUAAAGAUCAGCAGAUUGGCAAGGUAGUUCAGGUGUACAGAAAGAAGUAUGUCAUCUACAUUAGAGGGUGCAGCAUGAGAAGGCUAAUGGGACAACUGUCCGUGUGGGCAUUCACCCAAGCAAGGUGGUUAUCACCAGGCUCAAACUGGACAAAGAUCGGGAAAAAAAAUUCUUGAACACAAAGCCAAAUCCAACAAGUUGGAAAAGAGAAAGGCAAAAUAAGGAAGGACUUAUUGAGAAAAUGCACAUCUCUGCCUCCAUCUCAGCCAUCACUGCUUAUCUGGGAAGGGUCCCACUCUCACUAG